GCCGCUGCCGUCUCCGGCAGCAUCAGGGGUGGAGGAAGACGGCGGAAGCGCCGCCUCAAUUGCUUCCAGCAGUCUCAUAGCUCUUGGAUUCGCGAGAGAGAGAGAGAGAGAGAGAGAGAGAGAGAGA
Long non-coding RNA from Ipomoea nil (Japanese morning glory), 127 nucleotides. RefSeq lists it as uncharacterized. The transcript has 3 exons. The record is from RefSeq and is a predicted model, not a curated record. Lineage: Eukaryota; Viridiplantae; Streptophyta; Magnoliopsida; Solanales; Convolvulaceae.